AUCGCUUCUCAGCCUUUUGGCUAAGCUCAAGUGUGGUAUUUGUUCUUAUCAGUUUAAUUUCAGUACUAAACAAAUUCAGUGUUGUUCCUCUCAGAGCUAGGGAGUGCCUCGUCUGUCUCUAUACAACCACAUGUCCCUCCCUAGAUGAUCUUCCCUAAGGGCGGAGUCCUAUAAAGCCAAAGACAGUCUUC
This 191-nucleotide small nuclear RNA is filed under the name Propithecus coquereli (Coquerel's sifaka). RNAcentral describes it as "U2 spliceosomal RNA (ENSPCOG00000002309.1)". The stretch from base 1 to 92 matches the Rfam family "U2 spliceosomal RNA". The record is from RNAcentral. Lineage: Eukaryota; Metazoa; Chordata; Mammalia; Primates; Indriidae.